This 408-nucleotide ribosomal RNA is filed under the name uncultured bacterium. RNAcentral's name for it is "partial 16S ribosomal RNA". It matches the Rfam family "Bacterial small subunit ribosomal RNA", at positions 28 to 526 of the family's 1533-position model. The record is from RNAcentral.
GACGAACGCUGGCGGCGGGCUUAACACAUGCAAGUCGAACGAAGUGUCGAACGGGUGAGUAAUACGUGGGUAACCUUCCCUCCUUUUUGGGAUAAGCCUUGGAAACGGGUUCUAAUACCGAAAUUAGGGGGAUGGGCUGGGUGCCUAUCGGCUUGUUGGUGGGGGGGUGGCCUACCAAGGCGGUGACGGGUAGACGGCCUGAGAGGGUGACCGGCCAGUGUGGGACUGAGAAACGGCCCAGACUGGGACGCGGGGCAGCAGUGGGGGAUAGUGCAGAAUGGGCGAAAGACUGAUGCAGCGACGAUGCGUGGGGGAUGAAGGUUUUAGGGUUGUAAACUUCUUUCGCAAUCGAACGGGUAGGUGGAGAAGAAGCGCCGGCUAACUACGUGCCAGCAGCCGCGGUAAUUC